RNAcentral lists this ribosomal RNA (468 nucleotides) under uncultured bacterium. RNAcentral's name for it is "partial 16S ribosomal RNA". It matches the Rfam family "Bacterial small subunit ribosomal RNA", at positions 28 to 507 of the family's 1533-position model. The record is from RNAcentral.
GACGAACGCUGGCGGCGUGCUUAACACAUGCAAGUCGAACGGAAAGGCCCUGCUUUUGUGGGGUGCUCGAGUGGCGAACGGGUGAGUAACACGUGAGUAACCUGCCCUUGACUUUGGGAUAACUUCAGGAAACUGGGGCUAAUACCGGAUAGGAGCUCCUGCUGCAUGGUGGGGGUUGGAAAGUUUCGGCGGUUGGGGAUGGACUCGCGGCUUAUCAGCUUGCUGGCGGGGUAGUGGCUUACCAAGGCUUUGACGGGUAGCCGGCCUGAGAGGGUGAGCGGCCACAUUGGGACUGAGAUACGGCCCAGACUCCUACGGGAGGCAGCAGUGGGGAAUAGUGCACAAUGGGCGGAAGCCUGAUGCAGCAACGCCGCGUGCGGGAUGACGGCCUUCGGGUUGUAAACCGAUUUCGCCUGUGACGAAGAGUGAGUGACGGUAAUGGGUAAAGAAGCCCCGGCUAACUACGUG